Molecule: ribosomal RNA, 740 nt
Filed under: uncultured bacterium
Lineage: Bacteria
Description: bacterial SSU rRNA
Rfam family: Bacterial small subunit ribosomal RNA
Source: RNAcentral
AAUUAUUGGGCGUAAAGAGCUCGUAGGCGGUUUGUCGCGUCUGCUGUGAAACUGGGGGCUCAACCCCCAGCCUGCAGUGGGUACGGGCAGACUAGAGUGCGGUAGGGGAGAUUGGAAUUCCUGGUGUAGCGGUGGAAUGCGCAGAUAUCAGGAGGAACACCGAUGGCGAAGGCAGAUCUCUGGGCCGAACUGACGCUGAGGAGCGAAAGGGUGGGGAGCAAACAGGCUUAGAUACCCUGGUAGUCCACCCCGUAAACGUUGGGAACUAGUUGUGGGGCCGUGACGCAGCUAACGCAUUAAGUUCCCCGCCUGGGGAGUACGGCCGCAAGGCUAAAACUCAAAGGAAUUGACGGGGACCCACACAAGCGGCGGAGCAUGCGGAUUAAUUCGAUGCAACGCGAAGAACCUUACCAAGGCUUGACAUACAGGUGGUGCAUGGUUGUCGUCAGCUCGUGUCGUGAGAUGUUGGGUUAAGUCCCGCAACGAGCGCAACCCUCGUUCUAUGUUGCAACUCAUGGGAUACUGCCGGGGUCAACUCGGAGGAAGGUGGGGAUGACGUCAAAUCAUCAUGCCCUUAUGUCUUGGGCUUCACGCAUGCUACAAUGGCCGGUACAAAGGGCUGCAAUACCGUAAGGUGGAGCGAAUCCCAAAAAGCCGGUCCCAGUUCGGAUUGAGGUCUGCAGCUCGACCUCAUGAAGUCGGAGUCGCUAGUAAUCGCAGAUCAGCACGCUGCGGUGAAU